UCUGGGUCUAUAUCGGCAUGUUUAGUGGCUUGACAUGAGCAUGGUCUGAAUGCAUAUGGACUCGGGCCAAGAUUGAUGAUUUACCUAAAUGGACGGACCCAACACCACCCGUUUAUUAAAUGUUCUGACUAUAAACAGGUCAGACCAACUCGACACAGCCCGUUUAACACCUCUAGUUUUGAUACUCACACAAUAGAAGAGAGAGAACAAUUUGGUUUUGUUGUUUGCUUGCGCAACCAUAAGGCCUAUUUGGUGAUAAUUUUAUAGUUGCUAGGAUAUCUUGACUUAUUUUUGGGGAGUUCGAUUAUGUAAUUGGAUAAAAUGAUGUAUAAAAGUUAAUGGAACUCAUUCUUAUAGAACUCCGGCCUACUUAUUUUUCUUAAGUAUUUUCUAAGUUAAAACUUCUCCU
This 409-nucleotide long non-coding RNA is filed under the name Prunus persica (peach). RNAcentral's name for it is "long non-coding RNA (PPER_LNC005699)". Lineage: Eukaryota; Viridiplantae; Streptophyta; Magnoliopsida; Rosales; Rosaceae. The record is from RNAcentral.